GACGAACGCUGGCGGCGUGCUUAACACAUGCAAGUCGAACGGAAAGGCCCUUCGUGGUACUCGAGUGGCGAACGGGGGAGUAACACGUGGGUGAUCUGCCCUGCACUUUGGGAUAAGCCUGGGAAACUGGGUCUAAUACCGAAUAGGACCACGCGCUUCAGGGUGUGUGGUGGCAAGCGUUUGCGGUGUGGGAUGGGCUCGCGGCCUAUUAGCUUGUUGGUGGGGUAUUGGCAGACCAAGGCGACGACCCGUAGCCGGGCUGCGCGGGUGGCAGGCCAAGCUGGGACUGAGAUGCGACCCGGACCAGUAUCGGAGGCAGCGGAGGGGUGUAUUACAUAAGGGGCGGGAGCAUGAUGCAGCGACGCAGCGUGGGGGAUGAGGGGCUUGGGGUUGUAUAGCACUUUUAUUUGGCACGAGACGAAAGUGACGGUACCUAGAGAAGAAGCUCCGGCUAACUACGUG
This 462-nucleotide ribosomal RNA is filed under the name uncultured bacterium. RNAcentral's name for it is "partial 16S ribosomal RNA". It matches the Rfam family "Bacterial small subunit ribosomal RNA", at positions 28 to 507 of the family's 1533-position model. The record is from RNAcentral.